This 418-nucleotide ribosomal RNA is filed under the name Aeromonas salmonicida. Its description in RNAcentral is "bacterial SSU rRNA". It matches the Rfam family "Bacterial small subunit ribosomal RNA", at positions 312 to 722 of the family's 1533-position model. Lineage: Bacteria; Pseudomonadati; Pseudomonadota; Gammaproteobacteria; Aeromonadales; Aeromonadaceae. The record is from RNAcentral.
ACUGGAACUGAGACACGGUCCAGACUCCUACGGGAGGCAGCAGUGGGGAAUAUUGCACAAUGGGGGAAACCCUGAUGCAGCCAUGCCGCGUGUGUGAAGAAGGCCUUCGGGUUGUAAAGCACUUUCAGCGAGGAGGAAAGGUUGGCGCCUAAUACGUGCCAACUGUGACGUUACUCGCAGAAGAAGCACCGGCUAACUCCGUGCCAGCAGCCGCGGUAAUACGGAGGGUGCAAGCGUUAAUCGGAAUUACUGGGCGUAAAGCGCACGCAGGCGGUUGGAUAAGUUAGAUGUGAAAGCCCCGGGCUCAACCUGGGAAUUGCAUUUAAAACUGUCCAGCUAGAGUCUUGUAGAGGGGGGUAGAAUUCCAGGUGUAGCGGUGAAAUGCGUAGAGAUCUGGAGGAAUACCGGUGGCGAAGGC